Molecule: long non-coding RNA, 249 nt
Organism: Drosophila novamexicana
Lineage: Eukaryota; Metazoa; Arthropoda; Insecta; Diptera; Drosophilidae
Exons: 2
Source: RefSeq, a predicted model, not a curated record
CUUACAACAAGAACAACACUAUAACAAGCGACACACAUUGGAAAUGCUACACAUAAUUAACACACCAACCAACAAACGACUAAACUACAAGACAGACACAGAAAAUUGCGCUCACUUGUACAGACACCUCUUAAACAGCCAAACAACCUCAGUAACAAUCUCCACGUCAAAAAGCGCAGACGUGUAAAAUAAUUGCCCUGAAGACGGUUUGCCGAUGUGCAACCGAAAUAUAUCGGAAGAAAAUUAAAA